This 350-nucleotide ribosomal RNA is filed under the name uncultured eukaryote. Its description in RNAcentral is "SSU rRNA". It matches the Rfam family "Eukaryotic small subunit ribosomal RNA", at positions 567 to 958 of the family's 1831-position model. The record is from RNAcentral.
CCAGCACCCGCGGUAAUUCCAGCUCCAAUAGCGUAUAUUAAAGUUGUUGCAGUUAAAACGCUCGUAGUCUGAUGUAAUGGGGACUGGAGUGGGGAGCAGCGAUGCUCUUUGCUUUGAUCCUCAUCAAGGGGACAGCAAUGUCCCAUUUUACUUUGAGGAAAUUAGAGUGUUCAAAGCAGACGAUUGCUUGAAUACUGCAGCAUGGAAUAAUGGAAUACGACUCGCGUCUUAUUUUGUUGGUUUGGAGAUGUGAGUAAUGAUGAAUAGGGACAGUUGGGGGCAUUGGUAUUCAGUAGUCAGAGGUGAAAUUCUUGGAUUUACUGAAGACUAACUAGUGCGAAAGCAUUUGC